UACGUAGGGUGCGAGCGUUAAUCGGAAUUACUGGGCGUAAAGCGUGCGCAGGCGGUUUUGUAAGCCAGAUGUGAAAUCCCCGGGCUUAACCUGGGAAUGGCAUUUGGGACUGCAAGGCUGGAGUGUGGCAGAGGAGACUGGAAUUCCCGGUGUAGCAGUGAGAUGCGUAGAUAUCGGGAGGAAUACCGAUGGCGAAGGCAGGUCUCUGGGCUGACACUGACGCUCAUGCACGAAAGCGUGGGGAGCAAACAGG
Molecule: ribosomal RNA, 253 nt
Filed under: uncultured bacterium
Lineage: Bacteria
Description: partial 16S ribosomal RNA
Rfam family: Bacterial small subunit ribosomal RNA
Source: RNAcentral